UGACUGAAAAUAAAAAAUUACAGAAGUUAACAUACAACACAUUGUCAACUGCCGUUAUACACAUUGCAUUACAAUGUCCAUCAAAUAAAACAGUUAAAUUAUGCUUUUUCGUCAAUUGAAACUUGAGUGAAAAUCAAUAAUUAUUACGUUUAAGAAUGAAUAAAGUCCUUAACCAUUACAACAUUGUCUAUACGUGACAAAAAUAAG
RNAcentral lists this long non-coding RNA (207 nucleotides) under Mytilus galloprovincialis (Mediterranean mussel). The record is from RNAcentral. Lineage: Eukaryota; Metazoa; Mollusca; Bivalvia; Mytilida; Mytilidae.